AAGCCAUGAUGUGGACACUUAUUUGUGUAGCUUCUAAACCUGUCCAAAGCUUCUCCAAAGGUCUCAUUAGAAUGUUGAGUGAAGCUGGAAAAUCUGGUUCCUUAGCUU
Molecule: small nucleolar RNA, 108 nt
Organism: Eutrema salsugineum
Lineage: Eukaryota; Viridiplantae; Streptophyta; Magnoliopsida; Brassicales; Brassicaceae
Rfam family: Plant small nucleolar RNA R71
About the family: R71 is a member of the C/D box family of snoRNAs containing the C (UGAUGA) and D (CUGA) box motifs. Multiple nearly identical copies of this snoRNA have been identified in Arabidopsis, and it is thought to function as a 2'-O-ribose methylation guide for 18S ribosomal RNA.
Source: Rfam